This 486-nucleotide ribosomal RNA is filed under the name uncultured bacterium. Its description in RNAcentral is "partial 16S ribosomal RNA". It matches the Rfam family "Bacterial small subunit ribosomal RNA", at positions 28 to 507 of the family's 1533-position model. The record is from RNAcentral.
GAUGAACGCUGGCGGCGUGCUUAACACAUGCAAGUCGAACGGGAUCCAAGGAGCGUUUUUCGUUUUUUGGUGAGAGUGGCGAACGGGUGAGUAACACGUGAGUAACCUGUCCUUUUCUUUGGGAUAAGCUCCUGAAAGGGUGUUUAAUACCUUAUGUUCUGUCUGCCUCGCAUGGGGUGGGUGGGAAAGAUUUUUUCGGUGAAGGGUGGGCUCGCGGUCUAUCAGCUUGUUGGUGGGGUGAUGGCUUACCAAGGCUUUGACGGGUAGCCGGCCUGAGAGGGUGGUCGGUCCCAUUGGGACUGAGAUACGGCCCAGACUCCUGCGGGAGGCAGCAGUGGGGGAUAUUGCACAAUGGGCGCAAGCCUGAUGCAGCGACGCCGCGUGGGGGAUGAAGGCCUUCGGGUUGUAAACUUCUUUUGCUCUGAACAAGGCGCAUCUUUGGGGUGUGUUGAGUGUAGGGGUUGAUUAGCGCCGGCUAACUACGUG